GACGAACGCUGGCGGCGUGCUUAACACAUGCAAGUCGAACGGAAAGGCCCUGCUUUUGUGGGGUGCUCGAGUGGUGAACGGGUGAGUAACACGUGAGUAACCUGCCCUUGACUUUGGGAUAACUUCAGGAAACUGGGGCUAAUACCGGAUAGGAGCUCCUGCUGCAUGGUGGGGGUUGGAAAGUUUCGGCGGUUGGGGAUGGACUCGCGGCUUAUCAGCUUGUUGGUGGGGUAGUGGCUUACCAAGGCUUUGACGGGUAGCCGGCCUGAGAGGGUGACCGGCCACAUUGGGGCUGAGAUACGGCCCAGACUCCUACGGGAGGCAGCAGUGGGGAAUAUUGCACAAUGGGCGGAAGCCUGAUGCAGCAACGCCGCGUGCGGGAUGACGGCCUUCGGGUUGUAAACCGCUUUCGCCUGUGACGAAGCGUGAGUGACGGUAAUGGGUAAAGAAGCACCGGCUAACUACGUG
RNAcentral lists this ribosomal RNA (468 nucleotides) under uncultured bacterium. Its description in RNAcentral is "partial 16S ribosomal RNA". It matches the Rfam family "Bacterial small subunit ribosomal RNA", at positions 28 to 507 of the family's 1533-position model. The record is from RNAcentral.